GAUGAACGCUAGCUACAGGCUUAACACAUGCAAGUCGAGGGGCAGCACUAGGUAGCAAUACUGAGGUGGCGACCGGCGCACGGGUGCGUAACGCGUAUCCAACCUUCCCGUUACUCUUGGAUAGCCUUCCGAAAGGGAGAUUAAUACAAGAUGGUAUUCAAAUUCCGCAUGUUAUUUGAAUUAAAGAUUAAUCGGUAACGGAUGGGGAUGCGUGACAUUAGAUAGUAGGCGGGGUAACGGCCCACCUAGUCUACGAUGUCUAGGGGUUCUGAGAGGAAGGUCCCCCACACUGGUACUGAGACACGGACCAGACUCCUACGGGAGGCAGCAGUGAGGAAUAUUGGUCAAUGGGCGGGAGCCUGAACCAGCCAAGUCGCGUGAGGGAAGACGGCCCUACGGGUUGUAAACCUCUUUAGUCGGGGAGCAAAAAGGACCACGCGUGGUCCAUUGAGCGUACCCGAAGAAUAAGCAUCGGCUAACUCCGUG
Molecule: ribosomal RNA, 486 nt
Filed under: uncultured bacterium
Lineage: Bacteria
Description: bacterial SSU rRNA
Rfam family: Bacterial small subunit ribosomal RNA
Source: RNAcentral